UAUGGUGGUAUUGCCGAUGGUGUUCACCUCUUCCCAUUCCGAACAGAGUAGUUAAGCCCAUCAUGGCCGAUGAUACUGGUAUUUUUCCGGGAAAGUAGGUA
Non-coding RNA from Triticum urartu, 101 nucleotides. NCBI's taxonomy places the organism in Eukaryota, Viridiplantae, Streptophyta, Magnoliopsida, Poales, Poaceae. The record is from Rfam.